This is a long non-coding RNA of Dufourea novaeangliae, 1423 nucleotides long. RefSeq lists it as uncharacterized. The record is from RefSeq and is a predicted model, not a curated record. NCBI's taxonomy places the organism in Eukaryota, Metazoa, Arthropoda, Insecta, Hymenoptera, Halictidae. The transcript is spliced from 2 exons.
CAGGAAUCCUCCUCUGCACAAUGAUGGAAGGAAAAACAAGGUUAUGAAUAUUAAUAGUCUACGAAACGAAAGGCUCGCGGAACAAUGGCAUAGUCGGAAAUGAACAGAAUGGAGACAGAGUAUUGGCAUAUCGAGAUAGAUGCGUUGCGUGUCUUCUUCAAUAAUUCCCUUUGGGUGCGCACGUUAGGUCACGAAAGUAUUCGCACGCUUACAGUUUGCGAAGGCUGCGAGUGUUCGAAUACAUUCAUGACCCCACAUCAGACAUUGGAUUACCAAGGACAGAAAAAGGGGGAAAAUUACGAGAGAAAUACGCCUAUAAGGAUUCCAACGAGAUCCUGGAAUCGUUCUUGGCGGCCCGUACCGUCUAUUUUUUUAUCACUACCUAGAUACGUGAACCAUGAAGGAAGCGACAAUAUUAAAAGCGUGGGACACGAGGCAGGUCAAAGACCAGGAACACACAGGAACUGAAACACGGACUUUGCUUUCACCGGCUGAAUACCAUCCGUCGAUUCGAAAGUCGCCAAAGAAGUUUGUCGUCAAACAGUAUGAGGGCCGACACUUGAAACAUCCUCACGAAAAAUGAAAAGGGAUCCUUCUCCAUAGGCUUGGGCGUGAUGAUGUUUCCCAAUUCAUCCUGACCGAACCAAGGAAUCCUUGAAUUGACCUAACUCCGAUCAUGUUAAUUAGUUUCUAUUUUUCUGGUUAGACCGGUACACAUAUAUUUGUAUAUAUUUUAUUUACUGCAGGGGUCGACAGAGCGCGGUAACAAUGGAGAAACAAUUAUUUUUCAUUCGGUAUAUUUGUGUUUCUCUUUGGUGGGACUAUACCAGUCGGAAUAUCGUGAUGCAGAAUCGCAUAACACACGUGUUUAAAUAAACGCGCGGAGGAGAAUGUGAUUCCUCCACGAGAUACAAACGAUACGCAGUCGUACGAACACCUAUCAAAUGCAGUGGAUGCAGUUCUGAAUAUCUCCAGAGACAUUAUAUCUGAAUUUCAACGAGCAUUGUCCAUAAACGAUGUGAAUAGUCCAUUUAGCGUUCAAGGUAUUUUACUCGUUCUAAUGUACUGACCAAAGUAUCGUUCUAUCUAACUAAUUUUUAAUUCAGACACGCUUUCUUUUUUUUUUUUGUUUCGUUCAUUUUUACCCUCGUACCGUAUACACAUAAGUACCCCUGCUACCCUUUAUUUUCUACUUUCCUGUCUGUGUUGGCUUCUCGCGGUAAUGAAUUGACCACAGAGUAUGAAUUUCAACUGAAAAAAAAAAGAGAAAAAAAAACAGAAGAGAAAAAGAAAAGAACCAGCAUUGUGCAACGCAAAAUUGUUUUCUUUUCUUCUUUCCGACCAACAGCGCACCGCUAACUGCAGAAUAUAUGGAAAUUUAUUGUGAAACCUUAUGGAACAAAUAAAUUUCAUUUUGAAGGAA